AUGAACGCUGGCGGCGUGCCUAAUACCUGCAAGUCGCGCGAACAGACGAGGAGCUUGCUCCUCUGACGUUAGCGGCGGACGGGUGAGUAACACGUGGAUAACCUACCUAUAAGACUGGGAUAACUUCGGGAAACCGGAGCUAAUACCGGAUAAUAUAUUGAACCGCAUGGUUCAAUAGUGAAAGACGGUUUUGCUGUCACUUAUAGAUGGAUCCGCGCCGCAUUAGCUAGUUGGUAAGGUAACGGCUUACCAAGGCAACGAUGCGUAGCCGACCUGAGAGGGUGAACGGCCACACUGGAACUGAGACACGGUCCAGACUCCUACGGGAGGCAGCAGUAGGGAAUCUUCCGCAAUGGGCGAAAGCUUGACGGAGCAACGCCGCGUGAGUGAUGAAGGUCUUCGGAUCGUAAAACUCUGUUAUUAGGGAAGAACAAAUGUGUAAGUAACUAUGCACGUCUUGACGGUACCUAAUCAGAAAGCCACGGCUAACUACGUG
Molecule: ribosomal RNA, 496 nt
Filed under: uncultured bacterium
Lineage: Bacteria
Description: partial 16S ribosomal RNA
Rfam family: Bacterial small subunit ribosomal RNA
Source: RNAcentral